UGGGGAAUUGUUCACAAUGGGCGCAAGCCUGAUGACGCAACGCCGCGUGGGGGAUGAAGGUCUUCGGAUCGUAAACCCCUGUCGAAUGGGACGAAAGACUCGCGAGUGAAUACUUCGCGAGAGUGACGGUACCGUUAAAGGAAGCCACGGCUAACUCUGUGCCAGCAGCCGCGGUAAUACAGAGGUGGCAAGCGUUGUUCGGAAUUACUGGGCGUAAAGGGCGCGUGGGCGGCCCUCUAAGUCAGACGUGAAAUCCCCGGCUUAACCUGGGAACUGCGUCUGAUACUGAGGGGCUAGAGUGUGGAAGAGGGGGGUGGAAUUCCAGGUGUAGCGGUGAAAUGCGUAGGAUAUGUGGAAGAACACCGGUGGUGAAGACGGUUUACUGGGCUGUAACUGACGCUGAGGCGCGAAAGCAUGGGGAGCAAACAGGAUUAGAUACCCCAGUAGUCCCUGAGCGGGCUGGCAAGGCGCAU
RNAcentral lists this ribosomal RNA (473 nucleotides) under uncultured bacterium. RNAcentral's name for it is "bacterial SSU rRNA". It matches the Rfam family "Bacterial small subunit ribosomal RNA", at positions 355 to 825 of the family's 1533-position model. The record is from RNAcentral.